AAUUGUCCGUACGGGUGCUUGAGUGAAUCAGGCUGAGAUUGCAGGUAAAGCCGCUGCUGACCGUUUAUCUGAUCUGGGUAAUGCCAGCGUAGAGAGCAUGUUCGAUGGAAUA
Molecule: non-coding RNA, 112 nt
Filed under: Sporosarcina sp.
Lineage: Bacteria; Bacillati; Bacillota; Bacilli; Caryophanales; Caryophanaceae
Description: TPP sequence
Rfam family: TPP riboswitch aptamer (THI element)
About the family: Vitamin B(1) in its active form thiamin pyrophosphate (TPP) is an essential coenzyme that is synthesised by coupling of pyrimidine and thiazole moieties in bacteria. The previously detected thiamin-regulatory element, thi box was extended, resulting in a new, highly conserved RNA secondary structure, the THI element, which is widely distributed in eubacteria and also occurs in some archaea. Analysis of operon structures identified a large number of new candidate thiamin-regulated genes, mostly transporters, in various prokaryotic organisms.
Source: RNAcentral